CUGCCCAGUGAUCAGUGACAUGAUUUAACGGCCGCGGUACCCUAACCGUGCAAAGGUAGCAUAAUCAUUUGCUCUAUAAUUGAGGGCUUGUAUGAAUGGUUUGACAAGAACAAUACUGUCUCUUAAAAAUUCACUAAAAUUUGGUUUUUAGGUGAAGAAACCUAAAUAAAAUUGAAAGACAAGAAGACCCUAUCGAGCUUAAAAAAUACGUUAACUAUAUAGAAAAACUAAAAUUAACGAAAAAAUUUGGUUGGGGCGACUGAGGAACAAAUAAAGCUUCCUUUAAUAUAAAAAACUUAUAUGUGUUGAUCCAAAGUAUUUGAUUAAAAAAAUUAGUUACCGUAGGGAUAACAGCAUAAUCUUUUUAGAGAGAACAUAUCGAAAAAAAGGUUUGUGACCUCGAUGUUGGACUAGGAUAUCCUAAUAGAUUGCAGAAGUCUUUAAAGG
Molecule: ribosomal RNA, 447 nt
Filed under: Pseudobaikalia michelae
Lineage: Eukaryota; Metazoa; Mollusca; Gastropoda; Littorinimorpha; Baicaliidae
Description: Pseudobaikalia sp. 1 MK-2016 partial 16S ribosomal RNA
Rfam family: Bacterial large subunit ribosomal RNA
Source: RNAcentral